GCUGGGUGCAGAGGCGUGUACCUGUAAUCCAGUAGCUUGGGAGGUUGAGGCAGGAGGAUUGCGAAUUCAAAGCCAGGCUCAGCAACUUAGCAAGGCCUUAAGCAAUUCAGCAAGACCCUGUCUCUA
This 126-nucleotide small RNA is filed under the name Marmota monax (woodchuck). The record is from RNAcentral. Lineage: Eukaryota; Metazoa; Chordata; Mammalia; Rodentia; Sciuridae.